This 28-nucleotide small RNA is filed under the name Bombyx mori (domestic silkworm). RNAcentral describes it as "ovarian small RNA-10875". Lineage: Eukaryota; Metazoa; Arthropoda; Insecta; Lepidoptera; Bombycidae. The record is from RNAcentral.
AAUUCCUAAGGGUGGUUCUUGGAACGGG